CCACCUAUACAAGAGAAAGACGAUCCAGACUGCAUAUCGUCGUUAGAAGAAUGCAGAAAACCAAUGAAAACAUCAGCUGUAUAGGGCAAAAGACGAACAAAUCGUUCCGUCUUUGAUUGUGACAGCAAGACAAUGCCAAAAAACCUGAACAACAAGACCAAUCCUCCUCCUUUUGCUUGUCUUUUGUUCUUAUGUAUCAAACAAAUUUUUGUUUUUCUUUCUUGUCUGACAGUCAUCGAUUGUUGUGGCUGUCCGAAUAAAACGGUGCAUGGGCCAUCACUGCAUCAAAAAAGAAAAAAAUGAAUAAGCCAUGGCCGGUCGUCCCAUCACGGGGCUUGGCGCAUCUUCCAUGUCGGGACUUUGGGGCGUCGCGGCGCCAGUCGGCCAUCACCUUUCAGCUAUGACCAGUGAAGCAACUGUACAGGCAACAUCGCGCCAAUUGAACAACAUCAAAUGGCUAAUAUAUGUGAGAAAUGGUUUAAUUUUUAAUUUUAUUUUUAGAGUGGAGGGGAUGAAAAUUAGCAGAAACAGCUGGAUUAAAUAAUUUAAUCGAUCAAUAGAACUCAAAAUAAUGAAAGGAAUUGGAGAAAUAAACGAUUUGGCAACCGACCACGAGAGAAGCUUACCUAACCUCCUGCACUUGCAUUAUGAUUUCUCAUUUUCUCUUCUACGGACAGACGACUCCACGUUUUGUCGCGUCAAUUUUAUUUUUCUAAAAUGUUAGUAUCUCAAAGAAGUGAGCUGAGCUAUUUUGAUAUGAAUCGUAAUAAACGUGAAUGGAUUACACCAAAACAGGUGUACCACUAGAAGCGUGUGUCUUUUCCUUUUGUUUUUCUGUUUUCGGGUUUUUCUGUUUUUGGCUACUGUGCUCGACUAUUAAUGGUGGACAUUCCAGCACACCCUGCAUCGAUGGAAUUGCUGCUUAAACAGAUGGAGGCAUCAUUGCAUCAUCAUCGGUCAAACUUCGUCUAAGUUGAGACAAGAGAGGCGCCAUGGCAAUUGGAUCAACCCGACACAUCUUUAUUCCUAAUGAAAUCCCAGCAACAUUUCACAUGCCCGUCAUCGUCUUAACUGUUCUGAUUGAUUUGCAGGCCAGCCGUCAAUGGGAAGACCUGGCAUUCGAGAACGACUGAUCAAUUUGACUGCUAGUCGCCGAUUACUUGUGCACGGGCAGUGCUGCUCGUGGGCAAUAAACGGAUUUGGAUCGAUCGAGAGAAUAGCGCCAACUCUCUCUACGCGUAAAUUUCUCUCUAUAUAUGCGAGGAGAAAGAAGAACGAUGGCAGCACUAUAAAUCCCAUUACAUUCCAUUAGCAACUCUCACCCUCAUCUUUUUAUCAGGUGACUAAAAACUCUUUUAGCAAGACUGAAAAGAUUAACACCCAAUACAGCGAGAAAAUAUAUCGUUUGUAUUAUCAGAAAAGGAGCUGGAUUUUUAAAAAAGGGGGUUUACAGAAAAUGGACGAGAAAUAUGAUUGAAUUAGUUUCACUUUUUGAGGAUUCAUCAUGAACGGAUUCCAAAUGGUGUCAUAUUGAGCACGUGAUAUUGGCUAUUGUUGUACCAAACUACUUUUAUAUUGCACUAGUGCUCAUUUAUGGCUGAGAUGCACCGUUGCAUUGCGGCGUGGAAGAGGCAGGGAUCGAAUGGAUGGGUGCCGUCAUCGGUGGAAGGAAAUGAGCCCUGAGCUGAUCGCUCAACCGACCAACUUCUCCGUCUUCUUUUUCCAAAGAUCGCACCAGUUGUAAAAACUGCGCUGCACCUGCCGAAAGGAAGAAGCAAAUGUCAACUUGAAAAGUCAUCAAUAACUGCACACAAAAAAUGAGGGAUUCAUUGCGUCAGAUCGCCAUCGGUAAGUCGGGCCAACAAAAACAAAACUCGUUCGUUUGAAUUCUAAUCUACAUAAUAUGUCGGCAUCAUUGUCGGAUGAAGAAAAGGGAUUCUGCGAAAGGUAAAAGAUGUGAGGGACAAACAUUUCUGAGAUGCAUGUGAUCUCCUAUACAUCCACUAAGCCACAAUAAAGGACUGGUGAUGCUGAGGAAUGAGAGCAUCACUAACAAAAAUUUGCAUCUGUAUUCCAAAAUUGGGAGGGACACGAUAGUAACCUUCAACUUUUCACAGUCUUUGAAAAUAUGUUUGCCUACAUGUACCAAUCUAAUCUCUAUACAACUGCAUUUUGCAUUUUGUGUCCCUGACCUGGGAAAUUUUUCAUUCCCAAUGUUAAUGAUAAAUUGGCAUCUAACUGACAAACAUGCAUUAAACUUGGUAGUUUUUUUUCUUACCUUCGCCAUCUCCAGGAAAGCCAAAACGUUGAAUGACCUGAAGGACAAACAAAUUGGUUAUUGCAGCAAUUUAAAAAUAUUUAAGCAGAAACAGGAGAAGAAAGUAGCAAACCUCAAGCUGAAUCUGGGUGACUAUUGGGAAAACCUCCCUCAUGACUUUGACCAUGUCGGUGCCAGCAAGUUCUCUAGCACGGGCCAACCUCUCUGCAUUUCCUGGUUGGCUCAAAGCUGCCAAUAUAUCAGUGCAUGCUUCUGUUUUCAAGUUCAUUGGGUUUGAAAUGACAUCUUACAUGUGUAUUUUAUUUUAUUUUUUACAAUUAAAACGGUCUAACCUCUU
Molecule: long non-coding RNA, 2615 nt
Filed under: Daphnia magna
Lineage: Eukaryota; Metazoa; Arthropoda; Branchiopoda; Diplostraca; Daphniidae
Description: uncharacterized LOC123470596, transcript variant X1
Source: RNAcentral